GUAUUCCCAGUAUCCCCAGUUUCCGCCGAACCCCAAACAUCCCCAGACCCCGGCGGGUUCCAACAACUUUAAUGGGGCACAACAAGGGGGGGACAAAACCAGUUCAGGCUCCCAGUUUGUCCCAGUUUGGGUUCCCAGUUUGGGCUCCAAUCCCAGUUUGGGCUCCAAUCCCAGUC
This 176-nucleotide long non-coding RNA is filed under the name Cyanistes caeruleus (blue tit). RNAcentral describes it as "lncRNA (ENSCCEG00000006110.1)". The record is from RNAcentral. Lineage: Eukaryota; Metazoa; Chordata; Aves; Passeriformes; Paridae.